Molecule: long non-coding RNA, 998 nt
Filed under: Salvator merianae (Argentine black and white tegu)
Lineage: Eukaryota; Metazoa; Chordata; Lepidosauria; Squamata; Teiidae
Description: lncRNA (ENSSMRG00000009644.1)
Source: RNAcentral
UUUGCAAUACUAAUGAAAUGGCACACUUUACACUACUACAAUUCUUGGAAAUGCUACACAUUAUUAUACCUUGGGAGAGGUUAAUGAGAUGUUUUCUAAAUGUAAAUGUCUCUGAAAUUAAUGUUUGAACAGUCUACUUUAGAAGUUUCUGUUAAUUCUGAAGUAAUUCAAUUAAGGGACAAUUUGUUUUUCUGAAACAGCCAGAAAGUCCUGCUAAAGAACAGCAUAUAGCUAUUUUAGUAACAGUCCUUAAUGUGAACAAUAUUUUAUUAGAAAAUAAAAUUAUUUCCAUCCACUGUGUCAUAACUUUUAAUUUAUGUCUAUAGUAUUUCCAGAUCUCUAAGCUUCNCAGUUUCUUUCUUCCCUCUAAGUAGAACUGUAGAAUUUCUUUUCUUUACCUAAUCAUCUAUAUGGUUGCAAGCUUGAAUUCUACUUCAUGGUCUCUCAUUCACUUCAGUGGGACUAGAUAAACCAAAUUAAUCUUAUUCUGCACAUUCCAUUUGGUUAAACUUUUCUACCUGGCAUUUUCAGUUUUCUUCCUUUGUCUGCAGAAAUACAAUUGCACUGUCACCAAGUAAAGGGAAGAAAUUUGAAAUUAGGGUAUUCACUGUAAAAUAAAACCUUCAUCUAUUACAGAACUUUAGAAAAAGCUGCCCUUCUAAUCAGUUGAAAGAUACAUUAAAAAAAACACCUCAGUAAUGAUGCAUCUUUUAAAUUACAGGCUCUUUUUUUACAGAUCUUAUCUAUUGUUACAAAAAUAACAUGAGGCCUGUAUCUUAAUAAAUGACAAUAAAUAAUGUAUGUUGUGAAAUAUUUCAACAAAUGGUACUUGGAUAAUAUUGAAUUUUUCACUGGACUGACAUGGGAAGGUAUUCGUUUUCUAANGCAUCAAUCAAGGUCAACCCAACAAAAUCUUGCUGCCUAGGACAUAAUCCAGUGUAUUGCCUGCACUGACUGGCAAUCCUCUCUCCAUGUGGAAGUUCUGGCAACUUACUGGU